Molecule: ribosomal RNA, 116 nt
Filed under: Erinaceus europaeus (western European hedgehog)
Lineage: Eukaryota; Metazoa; Chordata; Mammalia; Eulipotyphla; Erinaceidae
Source: RNAcentral
GUCUACAGCCAUACCACCCUGAACAUGCCCGAUCUCCUCUGAUCUCAGAAGCUAAGCAGGGUCAGGCCUGGUUAGUACUUGGAUGGGAGAUAGAGACUACAGAGACUCUGUAAUUA